RNAcentral lists this ribosomal RNA (1909 nucleotides) under Vibrio cholerae. RNAcentral describes it as "partial 23S ribosomal RNA". It matches the Rfam family "Bacterial large subunit ribosomal RNA", at positions 919 to 2815 of the family's 2925-position model. The record is from RNAcentral. Lineage: Bacteria; Pseudomonadati; Pseudomonadota; Gammaproteobacteria; Vibrionales; Vibrionaceae.
CUAGGGGGUCAUCCCGACUUACCAACCCUUUGCAAACUCCGAAUACCAGUAAGUACUAUCCGGGAGACACACGGCGGGUGCUAACGUCCGUCGUGGAGAGGGAAACAACCCAGACCGCCAGCUAAGGUCCCAAAGUAUUGCUAAGUGGGAAACGAUGUGGGAAGGCUCAGACAGCUAGGAUGUUGGCUUAGAAGCAGCCAUCAUUUAAAGAAAGCGUAAUAGCUCACUAGUCGAGUCGGCCUGCGCGGAAGAUGUAACGGGGCUAAGCAAUACACCGAAGCUGCGGCAAUAUCUUUUAGAUAUUGGGUAGGGGAGCGUUCUGUAAGCCGUUGAAGGUGAAUCGUAAGGUUUGCUGGAGGUAUCAGAAGUGCGAAUGCUGACAUGAGUAACGACAAAGGGGGUGAAAAACCUCCUCGCCGGAAGACCAAGGGUUCCUGUCCAACGUUAAUCGGGGCAGGGUGAGUCGACCCCUAAGGUGAGGCCGAAAGGCGUAAUCGAUGGGAAACGGGUUAAUAUUCCCGUACUUCUGACUAUUGCGAUGGGGGGACGGAGAAGGCUAGGUGGGCCAGGCGACGGUUGUCCUGGUUCAAGUGCGUAGGCUUGAGAGUUAGGUAAAUCCGGCUCUCUCUAAGGCUGAGACACGACGUCGAGCUGCUACGGCAGUGAAGUCAUUGAUGCCAUGCUUCCAGGAAAAGCCUCUAAGCUUCAGAUAGUCAGGAAUCGUACCCCAAACCGACACAGGUGGUCGGGUAGAGAAUACCAAGGCGCUUGAGAGAACUCGGGUGAAGGAACUAGGCAAAAUGGUACCGUAACUUCGGGAGAAGGUACGCUCUUGAUGGUGAAGUCCCUCGCGGAUGGAGCUGACGAGAGUCGCAGAUACCAGGUGGCUGCAACUGUUUAUUAAAAACACAGCACUGUGCAAAAUCGCAAGAUGACGUAUACGGUGUGACGCCUGCCCGGUGCCGGAAGGUUAAUUGAUGGGGUUAGCGCAAGCGAAGCUCUUGAUCGAAGCCCCGGUAAACGGCGGCCGUAACUAUAACGGUCCUAAGGUAGCGAAAUUCCUUGUCGGGUAAGUUCCGACCUGCACGAAUGGCGUAAUGAUGGCCACGCUGUCUCCACCCGAGACUCAGUGAAAUUGAAAUCGCUGUGAAGAUGCAGUGUACCCGCGGCUAGACGGAAAGACCCCGUGAACCUUUACUACAGCUUGGCACUGAACAUUGAACCUACAUGUGUAGGAUAGGUGGGAGGCUAUGAAGACGUGACGCCAGUUGCGUUGGAGCCGUCCUUGAAAUACCACCCUUGUAUGUUUGAUGUUCUAACUUAGACCCAUUAUCUGGGUUGAGGACAGUGCCUGGUGGGUAGUUUGACUGGGGCGGUCUCCUCCCAAAGAGUAACGGAGGAGCACGAAGGUGGGCUAAUCACGGUUGGACAUCGUGAGGUUAGUGCAAUGGCAUAAGCCCGCUUAACUGCGAGAAUGACGGUUCGAGCAGGUGCGAAAGCAGGUCAUAGUGAUCCGGUGGUUCUGUAUGGAAGGGCCAUCGCUCAACGGAUAAAAGGUACUCCGGGGAUAACAGGCUGAUACCGCCCAAGAGUUCAUAUCGACGGCGGUGUUUGGCACCUCGAUGUCGGCUCAUCACAUCCUGGGGCUGAAGUCGGUCCCAAGGGUAUGGCUGUUCGCCAUUUAAAGUGGUACGCGAGCUGGGUUUAGAACGUCGUGAGACAGUUCGGUCCCUAUCUGCCGUGGGCGUUGGAAGAUUGAAGGGGGCUGCUCCUAGUACGAGAGGACCGGAGUGGACGAACCUCUGGUGUUCGGGUUGUGUCGCCAGACGCAUUGCCCGGUAGCUAAGUUCGGAAUUGAUAAGCGCUGAAAGCAUCUAAGCGCGAAGCGAGCCCUGAGAUGAGUCUUCCC